RNAcentral lists this ribosomal RNA (252 nucleotides) under uncultured microorganism. RNAcentral's name for it is "partial 16S ribosomal RNA". It matches the Rfam family "Bacterial small subunit ribosomal RNA", at positions 524 to 776 of the family's 1533-position model. The record is from RNAcentral.
UACGUAGGUCCCGAGCGUUGUCCGGAUUUAUUGGGCGUAAAGCGAGCGCAGGCGGUUUGAUAAGUCUGAAGUUAAAGGCUGUGGCUCAACCAUAGUUCGCUUUGGAAACUGUCAAACUUGAGUGCAGAAGGGGAGAGUGGAAUUCCAUGUGUAGCGGUGAAAUGCGUAGAUAUAUGGAGGAACACCGGUGGCGAAAGCGGCUCUCUGGUCUGUAACUGACACUGAGGCUCGAAAGCGUGGGUAGCAAACAGG